ACCUCUUACCAUUCCGAACAGAGUAGUUAAGCCCGUUUGCGCCGAUGGUACUACACCGUGGGAGAGUAGGUCGCCGCCUUCU
Molecule: ribosomal RNA, 82 nt
Filed under: Flavobacteriaceae bacterium
Lineage: Bacteria; Pseudomonadati; Bacteroidota; Flavobacteriia; Flavobacteriales; Flavobacteriaceae
Source: RNAcentral